AUUGGACGCUGGCGGCAUGCCUUACACAUGCAAGUCGAACGGCAGCAUGGAAGAGCUUGCUCUUCUGAUGGCGAGUGGCGAACGGGUGAGUAAAGCAUCGGAACGUACCGUGUAGUGGGGGAUAACGUAGCGAAAGUUACGCUAAUACCGCAUACGCACUGAGGUGGAAAGCAGGGGAUCGCAAGACCUUGCGCUAUACGAGCGGCCGAUGUCAGAUUAGCUAGUUGGUAGGGUAAAGGCCUACCAAGGCGACGAUCUGUAGCGGGUCUGAGAGGAUGAUCGGCCACACUGGGACUGAGACACGGCCCAGACUCCUACGGGAGGCAGCAGUGGGGAAUUUUGGACAAUGGGGGAAACCCUGAUCCAGCCAUGCCGCGUGAGUGAAGAGGGCCUUCGGGUUGUAAAGCUCUUUCGGCUGGGAAGAAAUCGCACAGGCUAAUACUCUGUGUGGAUGACGGUACCAGCAUAAGAAGCACCGGCUAACUACGUGCCAGCCGCCGCCGUAA
RNAcentral lists this ribosomal RNA (506 nucleotides) under uncultured bacterium. RNAcentral describes it as "partial 16S ribosomal RNA". It matches the Rfam family "Bacterial small subunit ribosomal RNA", at positions 30 to 523 of the family's 1533-position model. The record is from RNAcentral.